Molecule: ribosomal RNA, 492 nt
Filed under: uncultured bacterium
Lineage: Bacteria
Description: partial 16S ribosomal RNA
Rfam family: Bacterial small subunit ribosomal RNA
Source: RNAcentral
AGUGAACGCUGGCGGUAGGCCUGACACAUGCAAGUCGAACGGCAGCACAGUAAGAGCUUGCUCUUACGGGUGGCGAGUGGCGGACGGGUGAGGAAUACAUCGGAAUCUACUUUUUCGUGGGGGAUAACGUAGGGAAACUUACGCUAAUACCGCAUACGACCUACGGGUGAAGGCAGGGGAUCUUCGGACCUUGCGCGAUUGAAUGAGCCGAUGUCGGAUUAGCUAGUUGGCGGGGUAAAGGCCCACCAAGGCGACGAUCCGUAGCUGGUCUGAGAGGAUGAUCAGCAACACUGGAACUGAGACACGGUCCAGACUCAUAAGGGAGGCAGCAGUGGGGAAUAUUGGACAAUGGGCGCAAGCCUGAUCCAGCCAUACCGCGUGGGUGAAGAAGGCCUUCGGGUUGUAAAGCCCUUUUGUUGGGAAAGAAAAGCAGCAGGUUAAUACCCCGCUGUUCUGACGGUACCCAAAGAAUAAGCACCGGCUAACUUCGUG